Corylus avellana is the source of this 219-nucleotide non-coding RNA. The record is from RefSeq and is a predicted model, not a curated record. NCBI's taxonomy places the organism in Eukaryota, Viridiplantae, Streptophyta, Magnoliopsida, Fagales, Betulaceae.
GUCGAUCUGGAUAUCUUAUUGGAGAGAUGGUGUACCCAGGAGAAUAGGGAGUAUGCGGCGAAAAUGAAGAGCUUGCGAGCAUUAAAUGAUUCACCACAUUGCACCGGAUCAAUGAGCUAUGCCAGGUUGACACAUGAGGAGGCCGAACGUUUGGGCCAUCAACCCACUCGUGCACACAAUUAUGUCAAGUCACACACGAAGAAGGGCGGUGGAUAUCCG